AUGUCCGGUGAGAUCCGACACGCGCGUCCUCCAGAGGCCAAGCGCGGCCAUCUCCCGUCGUUAGGGCUUCGUUCGCCGAUGGAUCUAGCACUGGCCGGCGACGAGGGCCGCCAGAUCCGCGACAUGGGAGGCUCCUCCCGUACGAUACGGGAGCAGCGCGCCACACCCUGUAGUCGCCGGUCCGGGACGAGCGCAACGGGUCGAGGACGGUGGCGACAAACGCCGGCGCUCCUCUGCUUCAUCGACCUGGACGGCUGCUACUCCGCCAAAGACGUCACCUACAGGCGUACGGAGCGCACUGAACUGUCAUUUAUAUACCACACGACGUUCCUGUUCAAAAAUUGUGGAUACUGUGGCUACACAUUGAACUUGAGCUCCUCAACACGGAACACGGCCAACAUUGGAUCCAAGUACGGGAAGUUCCAUGGUGCCAAGUGGCCUCUGGCCAUCUUGAACUGGGACUCCAGUAACAAGUGCUCGCGGAGGAGGCCAAGGCGUUGGUGCACGAAUGCCACUUCUUCCACCAGCGACCCUCCCCUCUACGCCCAGCCUGUGGAACACUUCGACGCCAUCUUUGGAGCUGCCAAUGUCUUCCUGCAGCGGGAGGUGAUGUUGGAGCAGUACAUUGAUCAGCAGAUGGCAAGGAGAAGCUGGGACAGCCCUAAUGCAGUAACAUCACCAUGUGGCAAAUCCAGUAGAUUGACACAACAUUGGUGCUUGGGUGACGGGACAAACUAA
Molecule: ribosomal RNA, 738 nt
Filed under: Triticum aestivum (bread wheat)
Lineage: Eukaryota; Viridiplantae; Streptophyta; Magnoliopsida; Poales; Poaceae
Description: partial small subunit ribosomal RNA
Source: RNAcentral